This 206-nucleotide ribosomal RNA is filed under the name uncultured bacterium. RNAcentral's name for it is "partial 16S ribosomal RNA". It matches the Rfam family "Bacterial small subunit ribosomal RNA", at positions 568 to 773 of the family's 1533-position model. The record is from RNAcentral.
UGCGUAGGUGGCCAGGUAAGUUUGGUGUGAAAGCUCGGAGCUUAACUCCGAAAAGUCAUUGAAUACUAUCUGGCUGGAGGGUCGGAGGGGAGACUGGAAUUCUCGGUGUAGCAGUGAAAUGCGUAGAUAUCGAGAGGAACACCAGUGGCGAAGGCGAGUCUCUGGACGACUCCUGACACUGAGGCACGAAAGCCGGGGGAGCAAAC